GACGAACGCUGGCGGCGUGCUUAACACAUGCAAGUCGAGCGGUAAGGCCCUUUCGGGGGUACACGAGCGGCGAACGGGUGAGUAACACGUGGGUGACCUGCCCUCAGCUCUGGGAUAAGCCUGGGAAACCGGGUCUAAUACUGGAUAUGACUCCAUGACGCAUGUUGUGGGGUGGAAAGCCUUGUGCGGCUGAGGAUGGGGCCCGCGGCCUAUCAGCUUGUUGGUGGGGUGANGGCCUACCAAGGCGACGACGGGUAGCCGGCCUGAGAGGGCGACCGGCCACACUGGGACUGAGACACGGCCCAGACUCCUACGGGAGGCAGCAGUGGGGAAUCUUGCGCAAGUGGGCGAAAGCCUGACGCAGCGACGCCGCGUGAGGGAU
RNAcentral lists this ribosomal RNA (382 nucleotides) under uncultured bacterium. RNAcentral's name for it is "bacterial SSU rRNA". It matches the Rfam family "Bacterial small subunit ribosomal RNA", at positions 28 to 409 of the family's 1533-position model. The record is from RNAcentral.